UACGAAGGGUGCAAACGUUGCUCGGAAUCAUUGGGCGUAAAGCGCACGUAGGCGGCCUCAAAAGUCGGAUGUGAAAUCCCGUGGCUCAACCAUGGACGUGCAUUCGAAACUGCGAGGCUUGAGUAUGGAAGAGGGUCGCGGAAUUCCCGGUGUAGAGGUGAAAUUCGUAGAUAUCGGGAGGAACACCAGUGGCGAAGGCGACUCUCUGGUCUGUAACUGACGCUGAGGAGCGAAAGCGUGGGGAGCAAACAGG
Molecule: ribosomal RNA, 253 nt
Filed under: uncultured bacterium
Lineage: Bacteria
Description: partial 16S ribosomal RNA
Rfam family: Bacterial small subunit ribosomal RNA
Source: RNAcentral